GUUAUCUGGCAAUGCUUUUUCGUCUUUGUUCUGUUCUUCAACGACGCCAAUCUGUCUUUGCUUCGCCUCCAUUCUUUUUCAAUUGUGUCAGCAGUUAUUCAAAGAAAUUCAUGAGGUGAUGCAGCGAAAUUUUUGUAAGUGAAAACUGAAAUUAACUUACUCUUUCAUCUUGGAUCUCAUCCCGAUAACUUAUCAGGUUAGCCAUUCUUGCUAAUUGUUUUCUCGUUUGUGGACUUACCUUCAUCAUCUUGGUUUGGUCUCAUCCCAUCACAGUUCAUAGGUCACAGUUCAUCGGUCACAGUCAUCAGUCAAUCCGAUCACUUAUCAGGUUAGCCAUUCUUGCUAAUUGUUUUCUCUUUUGUGGACUUACCUUCAUCAUCUUGGUUUGGUCUCAUCCCAUCACAGUUCAUAGGUCACAGUUCAUCGGUCACAGUCAUCAGUCAAUCCGAUCACUUAUCAGAGAAGCUUACAACACUCGAGGAAUUGUAAAACUUAAUCAUGGAGUAAAGGAUAACAAGAUGUUAUGUAAGAAAAUUUUUGAUAAAAUCGACGAACUUGAGAAAAAGCUGAAAACAUCCCAAACCACAACAAACGAAAGCGAUGAGGAGGACGAUGACUUCCCAAUUUGAAACAUGGAUGAUUUCGAUUCAGUUAACUUGAAACUUCAAAACAAAACAACUCGUAAACAACUGAGGAUCCGCCUUGACUCUACUGGAAGAAAAAACGUCGGCGAUAUCGUCCGAAAAAUUUGUGUUUUCUGCUUGAAUAAAAAGUUUGCUCGAAACUUCAGUUGGGAAGGAAACAGAGGAAAUAUGUGUCUUAAAGACACAAUGCUUGGCAAAGUCAUGCUAGUUGUAAUCCUUAAAUAUGAAAAACCUAAAAUAAAAAGUCAUGAGGCGAUAUUGGCUAUUCAAAAUUGGCUGAAACAUGCAAAGGAUGGUAUGAAAGCAGAGUUAACGGCGGCAGCGGCAGCAAAAAAAAAAGGAGGAGAAUAAAAACAAUGAAAAAGAGGAUGAUUCCGAAGAAGACAGAAGGCCACUACCAUCUUCGUCCUCUGAUGAUGAAGAUUAAAAUUUUUUCGUUAUUCGAUUAAUAUGUACCAUGAUUGUUGAAAAUAAAAUUCAUGGAGUAACAAAAA
Daphnia magna is the source of this 1138-nucleotide long non-coding RNA. RefSeq lists it as uncharacterized. The record is from RefSeq and is a predicted model, not a curated record. The transcript has 7 exons. NCBI's taxonomy places the organism in Eukaryota, Metazoa, Arthropoda, Branchiopoda, Diplostraca, Daphniidae.